Molecule: ribosomal RNA, 406 nt
Filed under: Listeria monocytogenes
Lineage: Bacteria; Bacillati; Bacillota; Bacilli; Caryophanales; Listeriaceae
Description: bacterial SSU rRNA
Rfam family: Bacterial small subunit ribosomal RNA
Source: RNAcentral
UUGUUAGUUGCCAUCAUUUAGUUGGGCACUCUAGCGAGACUGCCGGUGACAAACCGGAGGAAGGUGGGGAUGACGUCAAAUCAUCAUGCCCCUUAUGACCUGGGCUACACACGUGCUACAAUGGGAAGUACAACGAGUUGCGAAGUCGCGAGGCUAAGCUAAUCUCUUAAAGCUUCUCUCAGUUCGGAUUGUAGGCUGCAACUCGCCUACAUGAAGCCGGAAUCGCUAGUAAUCGCGGAUCAGCACGCCGCGGUGAAUACGUUCCCGGGCCUUGUACACACCGCCCGUCACACCACGAGAGUUUGUAACACCCGAAGUCGGUGAGGUAACCUUUUUGGAGCCAGCCGCCUAAGGUGGGAUAGAUGAUUGGGGUGAAGUCGUAACAAGGUAGCCGUAUCGGAAGGUG